This 450-nucleotide ribosomal RNA is filed under the name uncultured bacterium. Its description in RNAcentral is "partial 16S ribosomal RNA". It matches the Rfam family "Bacterial small subunit ribosomal RNA", at positions 354 to 796 of the family's 1533-position model. The record is from RNAcentral.
GUGGGGAAUCUUCCGCAAUGGACGAAAGUCUGACGGAGCGACGCCGCGUGAGUGAAGAAGGCCUUCGGGUCGUAAAGCUCUGUCAUCAGGGACGAACGGCCGGUGGAGUGGAAAGCCACCGGAUUGACGGUACCUGAGAAGGAAGCCACGGCUAACUACGUGCCAGCAGCCGCGGUAAUACGUAGGUGGCAAGCGUUGUCCGGAAUUAUUGGGCGUAAAGCGCGCGCAGGUGGGAUCUUAAGUCCAUUUUUAAAGUUCGGAGCUCAACUCCGUGAUGGGAUGGAAUCUGGGAUUCUUGAGUACCGGAGAGGAAAGCGGAAUUCCCCGUGUAGCGGUGAAAUGCGUAGAUAUGGGGAGGAACACCAGUGGCGAAGGCGGCCUGCUGGACGACAACUGACGCUGAGGCGCGAAAGCGUGGGGAGCAAACAGGAUUAGAAACCCGUGUAGUCC